AUAUAGCUGACGAGUCCCAAAUCGGACGAAACACGCGGUUCUAGAU
Molecule: non-coding RNA, 46 nt
Filed under: Schistosoma curassoni
Lineage: Eukaryota; Metazoa; Platyhelminthes; Trematoda; Strigeidida; Schistosomatidae
Source: RNAcentral